GUGCCAGCCGCCGCGGUAAUACGGAGGAUGCGAGCGUUAUCCGGAAUCAUUGGGUUUAAAGGGUGCGUAGGCGGGCUUUUAAGUCAGCGGUGAAAGGCAGUGGCUCAACCAUUGGACUGCCGUUGAAACUGGAGGCCUUGAGUGCGUUGGGAGCAGGCGGAAUGUGUGGUGUAGCGGUGAAAUGCAUAGAUAUCACACAGAACACCGAUCGCGAAGGCAGCCUGCUAUACCGCGACUGACGCUGAGGCACGAAAGCGUGGGGAUCGAACAGGAUUAGAUACCCUGGUAGUCCACGCAGUACACGGUGGAUGCUCGCCGUUCGCGAUACACAGCGAGUGGCCAAGCGAAAGCGAUAAGCAUCCCACCUGGGGAGUACGCCGGCAACGGUGAAACUCAAAGGAAUUGACGGGCCCGCACAAGCGGAGGAACAUGUGGUUUAAUUCGAUGAUACGCGAGGAACCUUACCCGGGCUUGAAAGUUAGCGACGGGGGCGGAAACGCCCCCUCCCCUCGGGGCGCGAAACUAGGUGCUGCAUGGUUGUCGUCAGCUCGUGCCGUGAGGUGUCGGCUUAAGUGCCAUAACGAGCGCAACCCCUGCCGGCAGUUGCUAACAGGCAACGCUGAGGACUCUGCCGGGACUGCCACCGCAAGGUGCGAGGAAGGCGGGGAUGACGUCAAAUCAGCACGGCCCUUACGUCCGGGGCGACACACGUGUUACAAUGGGGGGUACAGAGGGCAGCGACCGGGCGACCGGAAGCGAAUCUCCAAAAGCCUCUCUCAGUUCGGAUCGGAGUCUGCAACCCGACUCCGUGAAGCUGGAUUCGCUAGUAAUCGCGCAUCAGCCAUGGCGCGGUGAAUACGUUCCCGGGCCUUGUACACACCGCCCGU
This 887-nucleotide ribosomal RNA is filed under the name uncultured bacterium. RNAcentral describes it as "bacterial SSU rRNA". It matches the Rfam family "Bacterial small subunit ribosomal RNA", at positions 505 to 1397 of the family's 1533-position model. The record is from RNAcentral.